AACGAACGCUGGCGGCAGGCUUAACACAUGCAAGUCGAACGCCCCGCAAGGGGAGUGGCAGACGGGUGAGUAACGCGUGGGAACGUACCUUUCAGUUCGGAAUAACUCAGGGAAACUUGUGCUAAUACCGGAUACGCCCGCAAGGGGGAAAGAUUUAUCGCUGAAAGAUCGGCCCGCGUUGGAUUAGCUAGUUGGUGGGGUAAAGGCCUACCAAGGCGACGAUCCAUAGCUGGUCUGAGAGGAUGAUCAGCCACACUGGGACUGAGACACGGCCCAGACUCCUACGGGAGGCAGCAGUGGGGAAUAUUGGACAAUGGGCGCAAGCCUGAUCCAGCCAUGCCGCGUGUGUGAUGAAGGCCUUAGGGUUGUAAAGCACUUUCACCGAUGAAGAUAAUGACGGUAGUCGGAGAAGAAGCCCCGGCUAACUUCGUG
This 432-nucleotide ribosomal RNA is filed under the name uncultured bacterium. RNAcentral's name for it is "bacterial SSU rRNA". It matches the Rfam family "Bacterial small subunit ribosomal RNA", at positions 29 to 507 of the family's 1533-position model. The record is from RNAcentral.